RNAcentral lists this long non-coding RNA (333 nucleotides) under Anas zonorhyncha (Eastern spot-billed duck). Its description in RNAcentral is "lncRNA (ENSAZOG00000013582.1)". Lineage: Eukaryota; Metazoa; Chordata; Aves; Anseriformes; Anatidae. The record is from RNAcentral.
CAGAGGCAGCGCUGCCGGGAGGGAGACGGGGACGUUCUCCCCUCCCCGUGCUCCCCCCGGGCGAGGGGUGUGCGGGAGCCCUCCUCGUCCCCUCGGUGGUGACAGCGGGGAGCCCCGGUGUCCCCGUCCCUCGGGGCCGGUGGCCGUGGGGUGCAGCCAGCGCCGAAGACCCUGCGGUGAUGCCGGGGAGCGAAGCAUCCUCCUGCAGCACGAGGGUCUCCAGGCCACGUCCCCGCAGCCCCGGGAGCUGCAGCAGCACCUGAAUCCCGCUCCUGGCUCAACCACGCCGGGGGAAGGCUGGCGUUUGUGGAUUAGCAUGGGAGAAGCCUUCCC